UACGUAGGGCGCAAGCGUUAUCCGGAAUUAUCGGGCGUAAAGAGCUCGUAGGCGGUUUGUCGCGUCUGCCGUGAAAGUCCGGGGCUUAACCCCGGAUCUGCGGUGGGUACGGGCAGACUAGAGUGCAGUAGGGGAGACUGGAAUUCCUGGUGUAGCGGUGAAAUGCGCAGAUAUCAGGAGGAACACCGAUGGCGAAGGCAGGUCUCUGGGCUGUAACUGACGCUGAGGAGCGAAAGCAUGGGGAGCGAACAGG
RNAcentral lists this ribosomal RNA (253 nucleotides) under uncultured bacterium. RNAcentral's name for it is "partial 16S ribosomal RNA". It matches the Rfam family "Bacterial small subunit ribosomal RNA", at positions 524 to 776 of the family's 1533-position model. The record is from RNAcentral.